CAACAAGAGUGAUGAGAAAGUAACCUUAGGCGUGGUUGUGGCCGUCUUGGUCACCUUUUUGCCACUUGCCAGUGUUAGGACUUGUCAUAGUUACACUGACUGUUG
This is a small nucleolar RNA of Sorex araneus (European shrew), 105 nucleotides long. NCBI's taxonomy places the organism in Eukaryota, Metazoa, Chordata, Mammalia, Eulipotyphla, Soricidae. The record is from Ensembl.